CCUUGCCAGCCCGCUCAAGAACUCAAAGGAAUUGACGGGGGCCCGCACAAGCGGAGGAGCAUGUGGUUUAAUUCGAUGAUACGCGAGGAACCUUACCUGGGCUCGAACGUAAGAUGACUGUAGGUGAAAGCUUACAUCUCUUCGGAGCAUUUUACGAGGUGCUGCAUGGUUGUCGUCAGCUCGUGCCGUGAGGUGUCGGGUUAAGUCCCAUAACGAGCGCAACCCCUACCUUUAGUUGCCAUCAGGUUAAGCUGGGGACUCUAAAGGAACUGCCUACGCAAGUAGUGAGGAAGGCGGGGAUGACGUCAAAUCAGCACGGCCCUUACGUCCAGGGCUACACACGUGCUACAAUGGCCGAUACAGAGGGCAGCUACCUGGUGACAGGAUGCAAAUCUCCAAAGUCGGUCUCAGUUCGGAUCGGAGUCUGCAACCCGACUCCGUGAAGUUGGAUUCGCUAGUAAUCGCGCAUCAGCCAUGGCGUGGUGAAUACGUUCCCGGGCCUU
RNAcentral lists this ribosomal RNA (503 nucleotides) under uncultured Sphingobacteriales bacterium. RNAcentral's name for it is "bacterial SSU rRNA". It matches the Rfam family "Bacterial small subunit ribosomal RNA", at positions 903 to 1382 of the family's 1533-position model. Lineage: Bacteria; Pseudomonadati; Bacteroidota; Sphingobacteriia; Sphingobacteriales. The record is from RNAcentral.